This 125-nucleotide ribosomal RNA is filed under the name Bison bison bison. Lineage: Eukaryota; Metazoa; Chordata; Mammalia; Artiodactyla; Bovidae. The record is from RNAcentral.
GUCUCAGGCCGUAUCAGCCUGAAGGCGCCCCGAUCUCGUCUGAUCUCGGAAGCUAAGCAGGGUCGGGCCUGGUUACGGAUCUUUGGAUGGGAGUACCACCUGGGAAUCCCCGGGUGCUCGAGGCU